ACCUGUUGAUCCUGCCAGUAGUCAUAUGCUUGUCUCAAAGAUUAAGCCAUGCAUGUCUAAGUUAAGCAAUAAACGGUGAAACUGCGAAGGCUCAUUAAAUCAGCUAUAGUUUAUUUGAUGUACCUUACUACAUGGAUAACUGUGGUAAUUCUAGAGCUAAUACAUGCUGAAAAAUCCCGACUUCUGGAAGGGAUGUAUUAUUAGAUCCAAAACCAAUGGCUUCGGCUCUUUGGUGAAUCAUGAUAACUGCUCGAAUCGCAUGGCCUUGCGCCGGCGAUGCUUCAUUCAAAUAUCUGCCCUAUCAACUUUCGAUGUAGAUAGAGGCCUACCAUGUGAUGACGGUAACGGGAAUAAGGGUUCGAUUCCGGAGAGAGGGCCUAGAAACGGCCCCAGUCUAAGGACACCCAGCGCACGCGCAAAUUAUCCCCUGCAACACUUGCCGAGAUAUGACAAUAAAUAACAAUGCAGGCUCUUACGGCUGCAAUUGGAAUAGUACAAUUAAAUCCCUUAACGAGGAAUCCAUUGGAGGGCAAUCGGUGCCAGCAGCCGCGGUAAUUCCAGCUCCAAUAGCGUAUAUUAAAGUUGUGCCGUAAAAAGCUCGUAUCGAACUUCGGUCCCUGUAAGCCGGUCCGCCUUCUUGGGUGUACUGCUCUGCGGGACUUACCUCCUGGUGAACUGCCAUGUCCUUUACUGGGUGUGGUAGCAAACCAGAACGUUUACUUUGAAAAAAUUAGAGGUUCAAAGCAGGCCUACGCCCGAAUACAUUAGCAUGGAAUAUAAUAAAUAGGACGCGCGUUCCCCAUUUUGUUGGUUCUGGAGAUCGCCGUAAUGAUUAAUAGGGAUAGUUGGGGCAUUUGUAUUCCGUCGUCAGAGGUGAAAUUCUUGGAUUGCCGGAAGACAAAACUACUGCGAAAGCAUUUGCCAAGGAUUUUCAUUGAUCAAGAACGAAGGAAGGGGGAUCGAAACGAUCAGAUACCGUUGUAGUCUCUUCUGUAAACUAUGCCAAUUGGGAUUAGCUCAGGAUUUUUAAUGACUGAGUUAGCACCCGAAGAGAAAUCUUUAAAUGAGGUUCGGGGGGAGUAUGGUCGCAAGCUGAAAACUUAAAGGAAUUGACGGAAGGGCACCACCCAGGUGUGGAGCCUGCCGGCUUAAUUUGGACUCAACACGGGGAAACUCACCAGGUCCAGACACAAUAAGGAUUGACAGAUUGAUAGCUCUUUCUUGAUCUUGUGGUUGGUGGUGCAUGGCCGUUCUUAGUUGGUGGAGUGAUUUGUCUGGUUAAUUCCGAUAACGAACGAGACCUUAACCUGCUAAAUAGUCCGCCGGCUUUGGCUGGCGCUGACUUCUUAGAGGGACUAUCAGCGUUUAGCUGAUGGAAGUUUGAGGCAAUAAC
RNAcentral lists this ribosomal RNA (1393 nucleotides) under Microbotryum lychnidis-dioicae. Its description in RNAcentral is "SSU rRNA". It matches the Rfam family "Eukaryotic small subunit ribosomal RNA", at positions 1 to 1457 of the family's 1831-position model. The record is from RNAcentral. Lineage: Eukaryota; Fungi; Basidiomycota; Microbotryomycetes; Microbotryales; Microbotryaceae.